UGAGGAAUAUUGGUCAAUGGGCGAGAGCCUGAACCAGCCAAGUGGCGUGCAGGAUGACGGCCCUAUGGGUUGUAAACUGCUUUUAUGUGGGGAUAAAGUGCGUGACGUGUCAUGCAUUGCAGGUACCACAUGAAUAAGGACCGGCUAAUUCCGUGCCAGCAGCCGCGGUAAUACGGAAGGUCCGGGCGUUAUCCGGAUUUAUUGGGUUUAAAGGGAGCGUAGGCUGUCUAUUAAGCGUGUUGUGAAAUUUACCGGCUCAACCGGUGGCUUGCAGCGCGAACUGGUCGACUUGAGUAUGCAGGAAGUAGGCGGAAUUCAUGGUGUAGCGGUGAAAUGCUUAGAUAUCAUGACGAACUCCGAUUGCGCAGGCAGCUUACUGUAGCAUAACUGACGCUGAUGCUCGAAAGUGCGGGUAUCAAACAGG
This 424-nucleotide ribosomal RNA is filed under the name Fusobacteriota bacterium. Its description in RNAcentral is "Fusobacteria bacterium partial 16S ribosomal RNA". It matches the Rfam family "Bacterial small subunit ribosomal RNA", at positions 355 to 776 of the family's 1533-position model. Lineage: Bacteria; Fusobacteriati; Fusobacteriota. The record is from RNAcentral.